GAUUGUGAGGCUUCCCCAGCCAUGUGGAAACAUAUUCGCAGAGCACCCACUAGGUGCCAGUAAAUGUAUGAGAAGUCCUGUGGAAUAAGACUGAAGUUGUCCUUGCCUUCAAGCAACUUGCAAUUGCCUAAGAACACAGUUUAAAACCACAAAACUAAGAAAAAGAGAGAGCGAGCGAGAGAAAGAAUAGCUACAUGUGAUUAUCUGAAGCUGAAAGCCAAGCACAAGUUAGAUAGCAGCCAUGAACGCAAUGCCCAGUUUUGAAGAGGAGCUUAAAACAUAACCUUGGAAAUCACAUGCUGUCAUUUCUGCGAUCGGUCAUAACCAGUCCUGAUUCCAUGUUAGAGGAGACUACAUAAGGACACAGGUACCAGAAGAAACUUCUAAGUGCUGCUGUAUUUCACCAAGCUCCAGUUGAUAUCCAAAUUGGACAACUCCUGUGUGCCAGGACAAUGUGCUAGGCUUGCUUUAAAAUGAUACAUACAAAUAAGAUAAAGCAAAGAGACUUGGCUUUAACAUUCAGUAAAACAAUAAUGUGUUUCUUAAUAAUAAACAUUUGCACGUAAAUGCGUCCCAUUUUAAGAAAAAGAUACUUUACCUAUGCUGUUUGUAAGUUAUGUUUCCUUAUAAAUUCUAUUUUCUUAGCAAC
Molecule: long non-coding RNA, 649 nt
Organism: Homo sapiens (human)
Lineage: Eukaryota; Metazoa; Chordata; Mammalia; Primates; Hominidae
Source: Ensembl